UAAACACGUGCGUGUAUCCUCCCUCCCUCUCUCCCUCCAUCCAGAAUGGUGUGAUGAAUCCUAUCCCAUCACCACUUCCAAAACUACAACAUAAUAAUAAGCCACGUCGGACGGCUCCUUUCUCUUCUCUUCUCUUCUCCCUCACACACACACACACAUUCAAUGUCGAUCCUCCCUCCUUCCUCCACCACCCUCUCCUUCUGCACCAUCAACCCCAGGGUUUACCUUCAUUCCUCUCAUGCUCGCUCGCUUUUCUGCCGCUUUCCGGUGCUUUCUUCAGCAGCCGGAGGAAGCAUGGUCAACUCUUCAUCGUCCUCAAUUCUACCGCCCCUCCUUGUUUCUACCGAAGUUCGGCAGUCUCCUACAUUUCUAGAUGCUCGUUCUCAACAAGAUCUGCUUUCUGGAAUUCAAAAGGAGAUGGAGACUGGAACUCUGCCAAAACCUGUUGCUCAAUUGAUGGAGGAGCUGUAUCUGAAUUACAGAAACGCAGUAAAUUGUUUUUAUUGGGCUCAUUUAGUUGUUCCGUUUUCCAAAGUGGAAAUCCUCACGCAGAAGAAAUUGUCCUGUCAAACAUGAGUGUAGCAUUGGAUCGUAUUUUGUUGGAUGUGAAGGAACCGUUUGAAUUCUCACCAUAUCAUGAGGCUAUCCGAGAACCUUUUAACUACUAUAUGUUUGUUCAAAAUUACAUCCGUCCUUUAAUCAACUUCAGGGAGUCAUAUGUUGGCAACGUUUCUCUUUUCCACGAGAUGGAAGAACAACUCAAGAAGGGCGAAAACGUGAUUUUGAUCUCAAACCACCAAACUGAAGCAGAUCCAGUUAUCAUUUCCUUGCUGCUUGAAACCACAAGUCCUCAUAUUUCUGAAACUGCAAUCUAUGUGGCAGGUGAUAGAGUUGUUACAGAUCCCCUUUGCAAGCCCUUCAGCAUGGGCAGGAAUUUGUUAUGUGUGUAUUCAAAAAAACAUAUGAAUGACGUUCCUGAGCUUGCUGAGAUGAAAAGGAGAGCAAACACAAGAAGUUUAAAGGAGAUGGCUUUGCUUUUGAGGGGUGGAUCUAAGCUAAUAUGGAUUGCAGCAAGUGGCGGCAGGGACAGGCCCGAUCCAAUCACAAAUCAGUGGUCUCCGGCGCCAUUUGAUGCCUCUGCCGUGGACAACAUGAGAAGACUUGUGGAGCAUGCUGGUGUGCCGGGCCAUAUAUAUCCUCUAUCCCUAUUAUGUUAUGACAUCAUGCCCCCUCCUCCCCAGGUUGAGAUAGAAAUUGGAGAGAGACGGGUGAUCUCGUUUCAUGGCGCCGGAUUAUCAGUCGCUCCCAAAAUCGAUUUCAACGAAAUUACCGCCUCCUGUGGAGGCCCUGACGAGGCCAAGGAAGCUUAUUCACGAGCACUUUAUGAUUCUGUCUGUCGGCAAUAUAACGUGUUAAAAACCGCCAUACAUGGAGCACAAGGCUCAGACGCAUCAACCACAAGUGUCUCACUGACUCAACCCUGGCAAUUACUCAACUAGAUUGCACUUUCACUUGUGGCAAAAUGGCAUGACAGAAGAAUGUAUUUCUAUGGUGUUGUUUCAAAUGCAGGUGUAUAUAAUCUACAGAAGAAGCAGGUGAAAGCAAUACAGGUUUCCAUCAUCUUUAAGAUUAUAAACAUGGUUGGUUAUAAAGGUAGCUCUGAAUUUUAGAUGUGUUCCUUUUCCCCUCUCUCACACGCCGGUUAGCACAUUGUCAUGGACAGAUUGGUGUAAUUUCUCUUAGUUGCAAGUUCAAGUAUAUUUGUUCUUUGUUGAUGUUAGUUUCAUCAUUCUGACCAUUGAAUCCUGAGAAACACAUGUACUUGUUGCAUUAAAGGGCGAUACAUGAGAUGAUUAUGUAACCGCCUAACUACCCCUUUCUCUCUCUGACUACAU
Molecule: RNA transcript, 1895 nt
Organism: Helianthus annuus (common sunflower)
Lineage: Eukaryota; Viridiplantae; Streptophyta; Magnoliopsida; Asterales; Asteraceae
Gene name: glycerol-3-phosphate acyltransferase, chloroplastic
Exons: 14
Source: RefSeq, a predicted model, not a curated record